GAUGAACGCUGGCGGCGUGCCUAAUACAUGCAAGUCGAGCGAACAGACGAGUAGCUUGCUCCUCUGACGUUAGCGGCGGACGGGUUAGUAACACGUGGAUAACCUACCUAUAAGACUGGGAUAACUUCGGGAAACCGGAGCUAAUACCGGAUAAUAUAUUGAACCGCAUGGUUCAAUAGUUAAAGACGGUUUUGCUGUCACUUAUAGAUGGAUCCGCGCCGCAUUAGCUAGUUGGUAAGGUAACGGCUUACCAAGGCAACGAUGCGUAGCCGACCUGAGAGGGUGAUCGGCCACACUGGAACUGAGACACGGUCCAGACUCCUACGGGAGGCAGCAGUAGGGAAUCUUCCGCAAUGGGCGAAAGCCUGACGGAGCAACGCCGCGUGAGUGAUGAAGGUCUUCGGAUCGUAAAACUCUGUUAUUAGGGAAGAACAAAUGUGUAAGUAACUAUGCACGUCUUGACGGUACCUAAUCAGAAAGCCACGGCUAACUACGUG
RNAcentral lists this ribosomal RNA (497 nucleotides) under uncultured bacterium. RNAcentral describes it as "partial 16S ribosomal RNA". It matches the Rfam family "Bacterial small subunit ribosomal RNA", at positions 28 to 507 of the family's 1533-position model. The record is from RNAcentral.